Long non-coding RNA from Etheostoma cragini (Arkansas darter), 341 nucleotides. RefSeq lists it as uncharacterized. The record is from RefSeq and is a predicted model, not a curated record. The transcript has 4 exons. NCBI's taxonomy places the organism in Eukaryota, Metazoa, Chordata, Actinopteri, Perciformes, Percidae.
CUCAAUCAAAACAUUGGAUGGUAAACAUGGACUUUUGAUGACAUUAGGAAGUUGCGUGGAAUUAUGGGACUUACAGUUUUUAUCGUUAAACACCAUCACCGCUUCUGGUCACUGUUGAAUUUACCCGUUCAAGUUUAUUCAUGUUACGUUUAGUAACGUUUAUUCAUGUUAUUCCAAUAAAAUAGCUGCAGUUUUACCAACAUGAUUACGUUUUUCUUGAUUUGAUUUGUAUUGGUAACUGACCAGUUAGCUAGUGAGCCAGCAAGCAAACAUUAGCCAACAGCUAAAACCACACUAUCACAAUAUAUUUCACAUGUCAAUUUCACCUCUUGGAUGGUUUC